GACGAACGCUGGCGGCAUGCCUAACACAUGCAAGUCGAGCGAGCAGAACCCUUCGGGGUGAAGCUAGCGGCGGACGGGUGAGUAACAAGUGGGCAACCUGCCUCAUAGAGGGGAAUAGCCUUCCGAAAGGAAGAUUAAUACCGCAUAAGAUUGUAGCUUCGCAUGAAGCAGCAAUUAAAGGAGCAAUCCGCUAUGAGAUGGGCCCGCGGCGCAUUAGCGAGUUGGCGAGGUAACGGCUAAGCAAGGCGACGAUGCGUAGCCGACCUGAGAGGGUGAUCGGCCACAUUGGGACUGAGACACGGCCCAGACUCCUACGGGAGGCAGCAGUGGGGAAUAUUGCACAAUGGGGGAAACCCGGAUGCAGCAAUGCCGCGUGAGUGAUGACGGCCUUCGGGUUGUAAAGCUCUGUCUUCGGGGACGAUAAUGACGGUACCCGAGGAGGAAGCCACGGCGAACUACGUGCCAGCAGCCGCAGUAA
RNAcentral lists this ribosomal RNA (478 nucleotides) under uncultured bacterium. RNAcentral describes it as "partial 16S ribosomal RNA". It matches the Rfam family "Bacterial small subunit ribosomal RNA", at positions 28 to 523 of the family's 1533-position model. The record is from RNAcentral.